Molecule: RNA transcript, 2044 nt
Organism: Oryza brachyantha (malo sina)
Lineage: Eukaryota; Viridiplantae; Streptophyta; Magnoliopsida; Poales; Poaceae
Gene name: phosphoenolpyruvate/phosphate translocator 3, chloroplastic-like
Exons: 10
Source: RefSeq, a predicted model, not a curated record
UCCCUCUCCCAGCCUCAGAGGCUCCCCGCGCGCAGAGCCGGAGAGCGCGACGGCCGGGCCGGGCCAGGUCGCCGUCGCCCUCCCCGCGACUCCCAGUAGCCUCUCGCUCCCGCCUCGCCGCCACUGGCGCCGCAGCCGCAGCGCCUCCCGUCCAUAAGUAGCAGCAGGAGCGGCAGAGGCAGAUGGCGCCUUCUGCCAUCGCGUUCGCGUCUUGCGCGCACCAUUACUGCUUCUCCGCUGGCUCCGGCGUUCGAUUGAUCCGGUGACGCCCGCCCAUUUGCCAAGAAACCGAGCCGGUGGGCGUGGCGUGGCGGGGAUGCAGGCCAUGGCGGCGGCCACCUCUUCCUCCGCCUCUGGAGCCUGGGCGGCGGCGGCGGCGGCCUCCUCCUCUCCUUCCCUCCUCGCCUCCCGGUGGCGGCAUGUCGCCUUGCCGUCUUCUUCUUCGUCGUCUCUCUCUCGAUGCCCGGUCGCCGGCGCCGGCGCGCCGGCGCUGCCGCUCGGCAUUCGCGGGGGGCGCAUGCUGCUCCCCUCCCCACUUCUUCUCGGGAAGAGCGGCGCCGCGGCGAGGAAGACGGUGGCCACGGCCGCGGCGGCCUCGCCGCCUGCGGACGGCGGCCGCAAGGCGGACGGCGCCAUUUCGCGGACGCUGCAGCUCGGCGUCAUGAUCCUCGUCUGGUACCUGCUCAACAUCUACUUCAACAUCUUCAACAAGCUGGUUCUGAAAGCAGUGCCUUUCCCUUACACCAUCACCACCUUCCAAUUCGCCUCCGGUUCAUUCUUCAUCACCCUCAUGUGGCUGCUUAAUCUUCACCCCAAGCCAAGGCUCUCCCUUGGACAGUAUGCAAAGAUCCUGCCUUUGGCCUUGGUGCACACGAUGGGCAAUGUUUUCACUAACAUGAGCUUGGGCAAGGUCGCUGUUUCCUUCACACACACCAUCAAGGCCAUGGAGCCCUUCUUCUCGGUGCUUCUCUCCGUGUUGUUACUUGGGGAGACACCUUCUUUCUUGGUGUUAGGUUCCCUUGUGCCAAUCGUUGGUGGCGUCGUGCUAGCAUCGAUGACCGAGGUUUCUUUCAACUGGAUAGGAUUUUGGAGUGCCAUGGCUUCCAAUCUUACCAACCAAUCGCGAAAUGUUUUCAGCAAGAAGCUUCUUGCUGAUAAAGAGGAAACAUUGGAUGACAUAAAUCUCUUCUCGAUAAUGACUGUUAUGUCAUUUUUAUUAUCUGCCCCACUGAUGUUGUCUGUGGAAGGAAUAAAGUUUUCCCCAUCGUACCUGCAGAGCACCGGAGUUAAUCUACAAGAACUAUGUAUCAAAGCUGCUCUUGCUGGCACUUGUUUCCAUUUUUACCAACAGGUUUCAUAUAGUUUAUUGGCUAGAGUAUCACCUGUGACCCAUUCUGUUGCUAACUGUGUCAAACGAGUUGUGGUCAUUGUCUCAUCCGUUCUCUUCUUCAAAACUCCAAUUUCACCUAUUAAUGCACUUGGAACUGGUGUUGCUCUUGUUGGAGUUUUCCUGUACUCUAGGUUCAAAAAAGUAAAACCAAAGGCUAAGACUGCAUGAACUCAACGUACACCGCUGGAAUUUAACUACUAGAAGGUUCUGGUUUAUCUCUUCUUGAGCCAUACUAACCAAUCAACAGAAGAUGACUCCUUUGUGGAUGAGAAAUUCAGAAGAGAAUAAGAAGCAAAGAAGCUGAUGUCCUUGUCCCACUUCUUCAUGUUCCAGGAUUGGAGGUGGUCACUUCAAUGAUUGGUUCACCCAGAUAUUUGUUUAUAUAUUUUGAAACCAAACAAGAUGUUUAUUGUGAUAUAUAUUUUCAAUGAUUGGUCCACCCUCAAUUUCAAUGGUGGUACCAGUACUAUCUGGUAAAAAAAUUCUUUCUGGAUUGAAAAUUUUGCAGCAUAUUCAUGAUAUGACAGUGAUAUGCAGCAAACUGCAAGGACAUCAACCAAGCAAAUAAUCAAUCAAGUUCAAAUCCACAACGUGAAAACUAGUAGCAAAUAUUCAUCACCAUGUUUACUGCACUAAUGCAGCUCUUAUUGUCCA